Molecule: small nucleolar RNA, 81 nt
Filed under: Chlamydomonas reinhardtii
Lineage: Eukaryota; Viridiplantae; Chlorophyta; Chlorophyceae; Chlamydomonadales; Chlamydomonadaceae
Description: CrCD21a snoRNA
Source: RNAcentral
GCUCCAAUGAUGACUUCAGUACAAUGUCCAAUUGCUGUCAGACCACACACGUGGUGAUAAAAUACUCAUACACUGAGGAGC